Molecule: ribosomal RNA, 301 nt
Filed under: uncultured bacterium
Lineage: Bacteria
Description: partial 16S ribosomal RNA
Rfam family: Bacterial small subunit ribosomal RNA
Source: RNAcentral
CAGUAGCCGCGGUAAUACGAAGGGGGCUAGCGUUGCUCGGAAUGACUGGGCGUAAAGGGCGCGUAGGCGGCGAUCAAAGUCAGGCGUGAAAUUCCUGGGCUCAACCUGGGGGCUGCGCUUGAUACUUGGUUGCUUGAGUGGGGAAGAGGGUCGUGGAAUUCCCAGUGUAGAGGUGAAAUUCGUAGAUAUUGGGAAGAACACCGGUGGCGAAGGCGGCGACCUGGUCCUUUACUGACGCUGAGGCGCGAAAGCGUGGGGAGCAAACAGGAUUAGAUACCCCCGUAGUCCCUGUCUCUUAUAC